ACCCUGGUGGUCUAGUGGUUAAGAUUUGGCGCUCUCACUGCCAUAGCCCGGGUUCAUUUCCCGGCCGGGGAA
This 72-nucleotide transfer RNA is filed under the name Equus caballus (horse). It matches the Rfam family "tRNA". From Rfam's summary of the family: Transfer RNA (tRNA) molecules are approximately 80 nucleotides in length. Lineage: Eukaryota; Metazoa; Chordata; Mammalia; Perissodactyla; Equidae. The record is from Rfam by way of RNAcentral.